GUGGCUCUCCCUCUGGACAUUCCUCAUUGGUCCCUCUGCACAAGGUGCUUAAUAUAAUAUGGGAUGCUACUUCAGGAUCUCCUACAUCCUAACCCUGUAGAUUGCAGACACAGCUAACAGAGCCCGCCUUCCUGGAUCCAUGGUCAACGAGCAUGCUCACAGUCCGGUGCAGCCCAUGCCCCGCCCACUGCAGUGCUGGAACCAGGUCAUCCUUCCCACUACCUGAUGUAUAAAUAAAUAAAUAACUGUGAAAAAAAAUCCAA
Molecule: long non-coding RNA, 263 nt
Organism: Neofelis nebulosa (Clouded leopard)
Lineage: Eukaryota; Metazoa; Chordata; Mammalia; Carnivora; Felidae
Exons: 2
Source: RefSeq, a predicted model, not a curated record